AUAAAAGAUAGAGGCGCGUCUUUAAACAGUAGCAGGAUGAAGGUUGCCGCAACCGUUGAGAGCUUGUGAAAGGUAAAGUCGCCGAAGGGAAUGCCUGGCAAGCGUUUACCUGGUCAUAAGCUGCGAACAGCAGUAUGACUGUCAUCAUACAAUGUGAUGGAGUGCUAUCUGAUGA
This 175-nucleotide non-coding RNA is filed under the name Clostridiales bacterium. RNAcentral's name for it is "Lysine". It matches the Rfam family "Lysine riboswitch aptamer". From Rfam's summary of the family: Riboswitches are metabolite binding domains within certain messenger RNAs that serve as precision sensors for their corresponding targets. Allosteric rearrangement of mRNA structure is mediated by ligand binding, and this results in modulation of gene expression. This family includes riboswitches that sense lysine in a number of genes involved in lysine metabolism, including lysC. RNAcentral also lists the same sequence under 1 other name. The record is from RNAcentral. Lineage: Bacteria; Bacillati; Bacillota; Clostridia; Eubacteriales.